Non-coding RNA from Citrus sinensis (sweet orange), 107 nucleotides. Lineage: Eukaryota; Viridiplantae; Streptophyta; Magnoliopsida; Sapindales; Rutaceae. The record is from Rfam.
AUACCAUGAUGAGGACAUUUCCUAAGCAACUCUUAGAAUAUUUCUCAUGUAUUAUACAAGCUUUUAUCUUCAAGUUGAUGGAAAAAUUUGAUUUUAUUCCUUAACUU